AGCCAAGCCUACAGUAGAGAAGCCAGGCAUCCUCUCCAGGGGAGAGGCACCUGGGCUGUCCUAGCCUCACGUUU
This 74-nucleotide non-coding RNA is filed under the name Microcebus murinus (gray mouse lemur). Lineage: Eukaryota; Metazoa; Chordata; Mammalia; Primates; Cheirogaleidae. The record is from RNAcentral.